Molecule: non-coding RNA, 73 nt
Organism: Danio rerio (zebrafish)
Lineage: Eukaryota; Metazoa; Chordata; Actinopteri; Cypriniformes; Danionidae
Source: Rfam
GCCCGGCUAGCUCAGUCUGUAGAGCAUGAGACUCUUAAUGACAGGGUCGUGGGUUCGAGCCCCACGAUGGGCG